This is a long non-coding RNA of Lontra canadensis (Northern American river otter), 99 nucleotides long. RefSeq lists it as uncharacterized. Lineage: Eukaryota; Metazoa; Chordata; Mammalia; Carnivora; Mustelidae. The record is from RefSeq and is a predicted model, not a curated record. The transcript is spliced from 3 exons.
AUAUAAAAAAAACAAAAAACCCUUGUUGAAUGAAUGACUCAACCACCGCAUACUGGUUCAAGCAGGCACUGUUCUAGUAGAAUACAAUGUCUUUUUUUA